UUAAGAUCUAGGGUUUGAUGUAGGGUUUGGUUUAGGUUUUAGGAUUUUUCUAGGAUUUGAUUUAGGAUUUAAGAUUUGUCUAAGGUUUGAUUUAGGAUUUGAUUUAGGAUUUAAGAUUUGAUUUAGGAUUUGAUUUAAGAUUUAGGAUUUGUCUAAGGUUUGAUUUAGGAUUUGGUUUAGGAUUUAAGAUUUUUCUAGGAUUUGACUUAAGAUUUAGUUUAAGAUAUAGGAUUUAUCUAGGAUUUGAUUUCAAAUUUGGUUUAGAAUUUAAGAUUUGAUCUAGGAUUUGAUUUAGGAUUUAGGUUUUGUCUAAGGUUUGAUUUAGGGUUUGAUUGAGGAUAUAAGAUUUCAUCUAGAAUUUAGUUUAGGAUUUAGGAUUUAUCUAAUGUUUGAUUUAGGAUUUGGUUUAGGAUCUAAGAUUUCAUCUAGGAUUUGGUUUAGGAUUUAGGAUUUAUCUAAAGUUUGAUUUAGGAUUUGGUUUUGGAUCUAGGAUUUAUUCUAAGAUUCAGUUCAAGAUUUAAGAUUUAUUUAGGAUUUAAUUUAGGAUUUAGGAUUUGUCUAAGAUUCAAUUUAAGAUUUGAUUUAGGGUCUAGGAUUUGAUCUAAGAUUUGAUCUAAAGUUUAGUUUAGGAAUUAAGAUUUGAUUAGGAUUAGAUUGAAGUCCAUUAGGAUUUAACUAGAAUUAAAUUAGAACUUAGUUGACAAUUA
RNAcentral lists this long non-coding RNA (707 nucleotides) under Physcomitrium patens. RNAcentral's name for it is "long non-coding RNA (PPAT_LNC009341)". The record is from RNAcentral. Lineage: Eukaryota; Viridiplantae; Streptophyta; Bryopsida; Funariales; Funariaceae.